UGAGGGAAUAUUUGGGUCAAUGGGCGAGAGCCUGAACCAGCCAAGUCGCGUGAGGGGAGACGGCCCUACGGGUUGUAAACCUCUUUUGUCAGGGAGCAAGGACGGAUACGCGUAUCCGGGCGAGAGUACCUGAAGAAAAAGCAUCGGCUAACUCCGUGCCAGCAGCCGCGGUAAUACGGAGGAUGCGAGCGUUAUCCGGAUUUAUUGGGUUUAAAGGGUGCGUAGGCGGGAUGCCAAGUCAGCGGUAAAAUUGCGUGGCUCAACCACGCCGAGCCGUUGAAACUGGUGUCCUUGAGUGGAAGAGAAGUACGCGGAAUGCGUGGUGUAGCGGUGAAAUGCAUAGAUAUCACGCAGAACUCCGAUUGCGAAGGCAGCGUACCGGCUUCCAACUGACGCUGAAGCACGAAAGCGUGGUAUCGAACAGGAUUAGAUACCCUGGUAGU
RNAcentral lists this ribosomal RNA (443 nucleotides) under uncultured Barnesiella sp. Its description in RNAcentral is "bacterial SSU rRNA". It matches the Rfam family "Bacterial small subunit ribosomal RNA", at positions 352 to 794 of the family's 1533-position model. Lineage: Bacteria; Pseudomonadati; Bacteroidota; Bacteroidia; Bacteroidales; Barnesiellaceae. The record is from RNAcentral.